Long non-coding RNA from Oncorhynchus tshawytscha (Chinook salmon), 958 nucleotides. RefSeq lists it as uncharacterized. The transcript has 2 exons. The record is from RefSeq and is a predicted model, not a curated record. NCBI's taxonomy places the organism in Eukaryota, Metazoa, Chordata, Actinopteri, Salmoniformes, Salmonidae.
ACCUAGUGAAUACGGGCCUGGAAUGUAUCUGCAAUGUUUAGCUUUCAAACCUCUUCCUGAUCCUAUUAAAGGACAUCUUGUGCCCAGUGGUCCCAUGGGUAAAGCAGCACCAGCACGGGCGGUUUUAACUUUCACUGACACUAGCCCUGACCAAUAGGACCCUCACCUAUUCAUUGGCAGAAAGUGAAUAAAAAAGGGGUAGUCUAAAAUGAAACGGUAACAGUCUGCUAUAGUUGAGAUCGCUGAAAUUGUCAACAGAGGGAUCUUUUCGCCGAAUAUCAGCUGAAAUUUGGAACAGACAAGAUGUAAAAGGAGGUUCCUUUGUCUGCGUGUCAAGAGUCAGCCCCUGGACCAAUAGGAGAAGUGAAAUCAUAUGACUCCCAUCCCAUCCCAGCCCCAAUAAGUCAUGUGGUCCUUCAUCUCCAGCCUUCCCUCAGAAACGUUGGCAAUGCUUCGGCGAUGAUGACGAGUGCAACGGUUUAAUUAGAUCCAUUCUUGAGGACGUGGACAAUGUAGAUGUUUUAAAAGGAGCAAGACCUGCAUUUUUUCAGACUUUUUGUAAGGUGGUUCAUCUCAAUGGACGUGUAGUCGAGAGGGAAAUGGAAGUUCAGUCAGUGCGUCGCGGCUGAGUGAGGGCGCGUUGGGCAUCCGACUGUCACCUUGCGCAUUGCCCGGUUCAGGGCUGGUGCGUAAUAUGUCCAGUGGGGUACGCGCGCAGGAAUGCAUGGGCAUCGGGGCCUUGCAUCUCUUUCAAUAGGAUUUAAAGAAGCAAAUGCCAUACAGGGAGAGGAUGCAAGAGAUGUUUCUUUCUUUAUAACUCAUUUCAUGUCGAAGUGGUCUGUUUUUUGUCCAACUUCAAGUUGUACAUUACCGCGGAUUUAGCUUAUAUUUGAUUUAUUUUCCACAAAAGCCGUCUGCAUUCACUUUAUUUAAUUAAAUUAUGUUUUGUUUAUUAUAA